MicroRNA precursor from Oryza sativa Indica Group (long-grained rice), 178 nucleotides. It matches the Rfam family "MIR807 microRNA precursor family". Lineage: Eukaryota; Viridiplantae; Streptophyta; Magnoliopsida; Poales; Poaceae. The record is from Rfam.
AACCACACUAUCGAUGAAUGGAUUCACCCACGGGAUAACAUGGCUGUUUCACCUAGGACGAGGACAUGACAUCCUAUUACCAGCCAUCGCACGAAAAAUUAAUAGGAUGCCACGUCCUCAUCCUAGAUGGAACAACCACGUCAUCUCACGGGUGAAUCCAUUCAUCGAUGGUGUGGUU